AUUGAACGCUGGCGGCAGGCCUAACACAUGCAAGUCGAACGGUAACAGGAAGCAGCUUGCUGCUUUGCUGACGAGUGGCGGACGGGUGAGUAACGUCUGGGAAACUGCCCGAUGGAGGGGGAUAACUACUGGAAACGGUAGCUAAUACCGCAUAACGUCGCAAGACCAAAGAGGGGGACCUUAGGGCCUCUUGCCAUCGGAUGUGCCCAGAUGGGAUUAGCUAGUAGGUGGGGUAACGGCUCACCUAGGCGACGAUCCCUAGCUGGUCUGAGAGGAUGACCAGCCACACUGGAACUGAGACACGGUCCAGACUCCUACGGGAGGCAGCAGUGGGGAAUAUUGCACAAUGGGCGCAAGCCUGAUGCAGCCAUGCCGCGUGUAUGAAGAAGGCCUUCGGGUUGUAAAGUACUUUCAGCGGGGAGGAAGGGAGUAAAGUUAAUACCUUUGCUCAUUGACGUUACCCGCAGAAGAAGCACCGGCUAACUCCGUG
RNAcentral lists this ribosomal RNA (490 nucleotides) under uncultured bacterium. Its description in RNAcentral is "partial 16S ribosomal RNA". It matches the Rfam family "Bacterial small subunit ribosomal RNA", at positions 30 to 507 of the family's 1533-position model. The record is from RNAcentral.